This 1056-nucleotide long non-coding RNA is filed under the name Manacus vitellinus (golden-collared manakin). RNAcentral's name for it is "lncRNA (ENSMVIG00005018841.1)". Lineage: Eukaryota; Metazoa; Chordata; Aves; Passeriformes; Pipridae. The record is from RNAcentral.
AUUGCAGGAUAUAGUGCUUUUUCUCUCUUUAUUCUUUUAUUUCAGGAUAUGGUGCUUUUUCUGCGUUAGGCCUCUUGAGUCUAACGUGAUAGGAGGAGUACGUGAUAAUCUAAGAUCAUGCAGGUGCUCAUCCAGGAAGCAGCUGACCUAAAAACAGGACUGUUUUUGAAAAGACAAAUCUACCUGUAUGAGCUGUCACUUCUGCCUCAUCUCUCCUCGGAAGAGAACAAAAGUGAAGAAAGGUGUCAGAAAGCAAAGAAGACUCAGUCCUGGUGUUCCUUACAGAGGGACUUCACUUCCAGAGGCCACCAAGACAAGUGAAAUCAACAUAAAUGCACAGGAACACCUCGAGGUGCUGGAGAAGACAGAGCAGGGGAGCUGAACGGCCAAUGCAGAUGUGAUUUCCUCAAAAUGUUUUGUCUUAAAGCUUAUCUCAAGGUAUGAUGAAAACAAGUGGUGGGAAGAAAAAAAGCCUAACAGACACAGAAAAUACAGCCAUUAGGCCAAAUAGUGGCAGUCAGAUAACCUUUUAAGGCCAGUUUCUGAGGUGCAUUAAAACUGCAACAGGAAAAAGGUAGAACUGGGCCUAUGUCUUUGUGUCCAAGGUGUAACAUUAUGAGCAGUUGGCCUGAAAUGUCUUCCAAGAAUGUGCUGAUUCCCACUGUGAAUCUGGAGAGCUUCCUUUGGUGAACUGCAAACUUUCUGCAGACAAACUGUGGCUCUCAUUUGUGUUUCAGUGGUGUGGCUGAAACAUCUGAGACACCCAAGGGCCCCUUGCAGCAGACGAAACCUAAACCUGAAUAGGUCCAUUGAACUGUUUCCAUCAACCAAAAUAUGGCCAUUCCUCCACAAUUUUUAUGCAGGUAUAGCCAAGAGAAAGAGAAUUCCUACUCUGAACUUUGUCUUUUCUCUUCAGCAGGCUGACAGUCUUGCUUUGCUUGAACUUAUUUAUUUUUUUGUCUUUGUGUAUUGAAAAAUCACCUUUUGCUGUUGUUCCUGUUACAUAAAAUCAGCAGUGCAUGCACAAUUAACCAUUGUAGGGUUUUCCAAAAGAAG